This 521-nucleotide ribosomal RNA is filed under the name Burkholderia stabilis. RNAcentral's name for it is "bacterial SSU rRNA". It matches the Rfam family "Bacterial small subunit ribosomal RNA", at positions 396 to 910 of the family's 1533-position model. Lineage: Bacteria; Pseudomonadati; Pseudomonadota; Betaproteobacteria; Burkholderiales; Burkholderiaceae. The record is from RNAcentral.
GCCGCGUGUGUGAAGAAGGCCUUCGGGUUGUAAAGCACUUUUGUCCGGAAAGAAAUCCUUGGUCCUAAUAUGGCCGGGGGAUGACGGUACCGGAAGAAUAAGCACCGGCUAACUACGUGCCAGCAGCCGCGGUAAUACGUAGGGUGCGAGCGUUAAUCGGAAUUACUGGGCGUAAAGCGUGCGCAGGCGGUUUGCUAAGACCGAUGUGAAAUCCCCGGGCUCAACCUGGGAACUGCAUUGGUGACUGGCAGGCUAGAGUAUGGCAGAGGGGGGUAGAAUCCCACGUGUAGCAGUGAAAUGCGUAGAGAUGUGGAGGAAUACCGAUGGCGAAGGCAGCCCCCUGGGCCAAUACUGACGCUCAUGCACGAAAGCGUGGGGAGCAAACAGGAUUAGAUACCCUGGUAGUCCACGCCCUAAACGAUGUCAACUAGUUGUUGGGGAUUCAUUUCCUUAGUAACGUAGCUAACGCGUGAAGUUGACCGCCUGGGGAGUACGGUCGCAAGAUUAAAACUCAAGGAACU